Molecule: ribosomal RNA, 166 nt
Filed under: uncultured freshwater bacterium
Lineage: Bacteria
Description: partial 16S ribosomal RNA
Rfam family: Bacterial small subunit ribosomal RNA
Source: RNAcentral
GCGUCGUAUAUGGGCGCAGCUGAUCAGCCAUGCCGCGUGAGUGAGAAGGCCUUCGGGUUGUAAAGCUCUUUUGUCCGGGACGAAACGGUCUGGGCUAAUACCCUGGGCUCAUGACGGUUCCGUGCCAAUAAGCACCGGCUAACUACGUGCCAGCAGCCGCGGUAAU